CCUACGGGAGGCAGCAGUGGGGAAUAUUGGACAAUGGGCGAAAGCCUGAUCCAGCCAUGCCGCGUGUGUGAAGAAGGCCUUCGGGUUGUAAAGCACUUUCAGUGGGGAAGAAAGCCUUGGGGCUAAUACCCUCGAGGAAGGACAUCACCCACAGAAGAAGCACCGGCUAACUCCGUGCCAGCAGCCGCGGUAAUACGGAGGGUGCGAGCGUUAAUCGGAAUUACUGGGCGUAAAGCGCGCGUAGGCGGUCUGAUAAGCCGGUUGUGAAAGCCCCGGGCUCAACCUGGGAACGGCAUCCGGAACUGUCAGGCUAGAGUGCAGGAGAGGAAGGUAGAAUUCCCGGUGUAGCGGUGAAAUGCGUAGAGAUCGGGAGGAAUACCAGAGGCGAAGGCGGCCUUCUGGACUGACACUGACGCUGAGGUGCGAAAGCGUGGGUAGCAAACAGGAUUAGAUACCCCGGUAGUC
RNAcentral lists this ribosomal RNA (465 nucleotides) under Vreelandella stevensii. RNAcentral's name for it is "partial 16S ribosomal RNA". It matches the Rfam family "Bacterial small subunit ribosomal RNA", at positions 338 to 795 of the family's 1533-position model. The record is from RNAcentral. Lineage: Bacteria; Pseudomonadati; Pseudomonadota; Gammaproteobacteria; Oceanospirillales; Halomonadaceae.